CCUCCCCUGCCGUUUUUAGGAAUCAUUCCCGGAUGCGAUACCCCCAAAAAGCCAAACACCACGGGGCAGGGCAGGCCCGGGCGACGCGGGCGGAGAGGAGGAGACACCAGCCCCCCCGCCGCGGAACGAAGGCGCCACCACCGGCCGGAGGAGCAACCCCCGACUCGACCCGACCCCGAAGCGACGGCGGCUGCGUCUCGAUUCGGCUCC
This 210-nucleotide long non-coding RNA is filed under the name Oryza brachyantha (malo sina). RNAcentral's name for it is "long non-coding RNA (OBRA_LNC001668)". The record is from RNAcentral. Lineage: Eukaryota; Viridiplantae; Streptophyta; Magnoliopsida; Poales; Poaceae.